RNAcentral lists this transfer RNA (57 nucleotides) under Brachycentrus subnubilus. RNAcentral describes it as "tRNA-Ser". The record is from RNAcentral. Lineage: Eukaryota; Metazoa; Arthropoda; Insecta; Trichoptera; Brachycentridae.
GAAAUAAAAACAUUUAAGCUUCUAACUUAAUUUAUAGUGAAAUUCAUUAAUAUUUCU